This 800-nucleotide ribosomal RNA is filed under the name uncultured bacterium. RNAcentral describes it as "bacterial SSU rRNA". It matches the Rfam family "Bacterial small subunit ribosomal RNA", at positions 8 to 804 of the family's 1533-position model. The record is from RNAcentral.
AGAGUUUGAUCCUGGCUCAGAUUGAACGCUGGCGGAAUGCUUUACACAUGCAAGUCGAGCGGCAGCGCGGGGCAACCUGGCGGCGAGCGGCGAACGGGUGAGUAAUGCAUCGGAACAUGUCCAUGUCGUGGGGGAUAGCCCGGCGAAAGCCGGAUUAAUACCGCAUACGCCCGAGAGGGGAAAGCAGGGGACCGCAAGGCCUUGCGCGAUUGGGUUGGCCGAUGUCCGAUUAGCUAGUUGGCGGGGUAAGAGCCCACCAAGGCGAUGAUCGGUAGCUGGUCUGAGAGGAUGAUCAGCCACACUGGGACUGAGACACGGCCCAGACUCCUACGGGAGGCAGCAGUGGGGAAUUUUGGACAAUGGGGGCAACCCUGAUCCAGCCAUUCCGCGUGAGCGAAGAAGGCCUUCGGGUUGUAAAGCUCUUUUGUCCGGAACGAAACGGUUAGGUCUAAUAAGCCUGACUACUGACGGUACCGGAAGAAUAAGCACCGGCUAACUACGUGCCAGCAGCCGCGGUAAUACGUAGGGUGCGAGCGUUAAUCGGAAUUACUGGGCGUAAAGCGUGCGCAGGCGGUUUUGUAAGCCAGAUGUGAAAUCCCCGGGCUUAACCUGGGAAUGGCAUUUGGGACUGCAAGGCUGGAGUUUGGCAGAGGAGACCGGAAUUCCUGGUGUAGCAGUGAAAUGCGUAGAUAUCAGGAGGAAUACCGAUGGCGAAGGCAGGUCUCUGGGCUGAAACUGACGCUCAUGCACGAAAGCGUGGGGAGCAAACAGGAUUAGAUACCCUGGUAGUCCACGCCCUA